Molecule: unclassified non-coding RNA, 18 nt
Filed under: Mus musculus (house mouse)
Lineage: Eukaryota; Metazoa; Chordata; Mammalia; Rodentia; Muridae
Description: oocyte_clustered_small_RNA10222
Source: RNAcentral
GGGUCCUUGACGGGAAGC